Molecule: long non-coding RNA, 1371 nt
Organism: Formica exsecta
Lineage: Eukaryota; Metazoa; Arthropoda; Insecta; Hymenoptera; Formicidae
Exons: 3
Source: RefSeq, a predicted model, not a curated record
AAAUUUAAACGCGAUCUGUAUUCGAAAAUCGUAUAAAUCGUGUCGGUCAACAUCGACGACAUGGCAAAUGACGAAUCAGGGAUAAUGUAAAACAUUUCAUAUGCAUAUACCGACAAUUGUGCCAUGUGCCUCGGCAAUCAUACAAUUGGCGAAUAUUCAAUUAUAUAAUCGAACUACCGGCGUGUAGUGCCAUGGCACUAGGCACGUACGUCGUAUGUCUGCAAAAUUUACAGUUUCUCGUUGCUUUAUUGUAAUCGUCGAACGAUAACAGGAGUUCAUGCACAUGUAAUCAUCUUCGCGAACGGAUAUGCUAUAUAUUUAAAAAAAUAAUAUUACUUAUGAUCUGUGUGUUUCGACGAUCGGCUUGAGUAUCGGCAAUCAUGGCUAUAUAGUUGCGGUCCACAAUUAUAAUUGAUGCUUAAAGAAUGAUUAACUAACCGCCUUUUUGCUCAAGUGAAUUGAACAUAUAUGUGAUAUCAUCAAAUUUAUUUUAUCUGAAUUUUUAUAUUUUUUUAUCGCAUGAUAUACACAUCUUAAUAUUGACGGAUCGUUUCAGGUUUAGCGACGGUGGCGCAAAGUGUCUACGGAUUAAUCUGCGCGUCUGAUAUCAGAUAGUGCGUCCAAAAUUUUCCGCUUAUGAAUCUCGAAUCGAUGCUUUAAUUGGCCAAUUAUGACAGUAUAUUUUCUUUAAGGAAAUUGUGCUUACCAGUGAGCCAACGGCAGAAUAUUUGGGAUUUUCCGGAAAUAGAUAAAUAUCGAAGAGGAUCCAAACACCUCUCCAGACGAAAACAACCAACGUGCCAACAACACCGACGCUAAAGGCACAAUCCAAAAAUAUAAAUUUCGAGCUUCCGGAUGGUGCUUUUGAUUAUACUCUCAGAUGAAAGGAGAAGCAAGAAAAGAGGUGAUACACUUCUCUUCUCCGGUAAUUAAAAAUUCGAUAUAAAAAAAAAUAUUUGUGUUAUAUAUUGUAAGAUAUGCAGAACAAUAUUGGGCAGGAAUCUCGAAUAAUUUCUACGACGUUGUACUAUAGACAUUCAGCAUUUUCAUUUUGGUAAAUGAGUUUUAUCUACUAAUGAAUUUUAAAUGAUUCUAUCUAUUAGUUUUAUAAACAGAUUGCUUUCUUAAGUGGAGAUAAACUUUUGUUUUCACUUAUUAAAGCACAUUAUACACACAUCUCUCAUUAGAAGCUAUAUGUCAAAACUAAGAGUCUUACUUUUUUCCAUAAAAAAUACAGCUUCUAUAAUCUGUAAUGCUAUUCUGAAAAUUUUUUCCUUUUUUCUUUCUUUUAUUUCCCUCUUUUAUUAACAUCGUGUUAUCUUGCAAUCUUGUUUCCUAAUUCAAUUUUCUAUACGUAAUAUCUAUUUAUAA